AGUGAACGCUGGCGGUAGGCCUAACACAUGCAAGUCGAACGGCAGCACAGUAAGAGCUUGCUCUUACGGGUGGCGAGUGGCGGACGGGUGAGGAAUACAUCGGAAUCUACUUUUUCGUGGGGGAUAAUGUAGGGAAACUUACGCUAAUACCGCAUACGACCUACGGGUGAAAGCAGGGGAUCUUCGGACCUUGCGCGAUUGAAUGAGCCGAUGUCGGAUUAGCUAGUUGGCGGGGUAAAGGCCCACCAAGGCGACGAUCCGUAGCUGGUCUGAGAGGAUGAUCAGCCACACUGGAACUGAGACACGGUCCAGACUCCUACGGGAGGCGGCAGUGGGGAAUAUUGGACAAUGGGCGCAAGCCUGAGCCAGCCAUACCGCGUGGGUGAAGAAGGCCUUCGGGUUGUAAAGCCCUUUUGUUGGGAAAGAAAAGCAGCAGGUUAAUACCCCGCUGUUCUGACGGUACCCAAAGAAUAAGCACCGGCUAACUUCGU
Molecule: ribosomal RNA, 491 nt
Filed under: uncultured bacterium
Lineage: Bacteria
Description: partial 16S ribosomal RNA
Rfam family: Bacterial small subunit ribosomal RNA
Source: RNAcentral